GGAUGGUCCAAUGGUAGUGGGUUAUCAGAAUUUAUUAACAUCAGUGUCACUGAAAUUGAUAUAUAACUCCCCACUGACUGGAUUUAAA
RNAcentral lists this small RNA (88 nucleotides) under Saimiri boliviensis boliviensis (Bolivian squirrel monkey). Its description in RNAcentral is "Y RNA (ENSSBOG00000000086.1)". Lineage: Eukaryota; Metazoa; Chordata; Mammalia; Primates; Cebidae. The record is from RNAcentral.